This 1875-nucleotide long non-coding RNA is filed under the name Brassica napus (rape). RNAcentral's name for it is "long non-coding RNA (BNAP_LNC019874)". The record is from RNAcentral. Lineage: Eukaryota; Viridiplantae; Streptophyta; Magnoliopsida; Brassicales; Brassicaceae.
UCAUUUCAAAUCAUUCAACCUUUUUAAUAAAAAUCAUCUUCUUUAAACUUGUUGAACCAUUUCUGAUUGUUGGUAUGUGAUUUCCUUCAAUCUAACUUGGUUUAAUCUAGUUUGUCAUAUCUAGAGGCGACCAUUAUAGGGUAGUAUCAAGAGACUUUCCGCACCUCUUGCGUCACCUUUCGAUCCACAUCCCUUGAUCGUUUGUUGCUUUCUAGCUCAUUCGGUGCAAGGUUUAUCCAUUACCAAUUUCAGAGUGUCGAUCUUUGGGAGGAUCUCAUCAAGUGGUAUCAGAGCACAUUCUGAAACUUGGAGAAUCAUGUCUGAGCUCGAAGAAAAGACUAGCAACAAUCAAAACAUCGAGUUGCUGAUUGAAUCUGUCAUGGCCAUAAUGGAGAAGAAGUUGGACUCUAGACUUGUUUCCUUACGCCAGAAGAUGCAUCAAUCCAGGAAUCAGAGAAAGAACCAGAUGCAUCAACUAAGGAAUCAAAGGAAGAAGGCAUAGCAACAACCACAUUCGAAAGCAAUUGAGAAAAAAAUUUCAGCCAGAACUGAAAAGAAGGCUUGGAGAGAUGGCUGCAGUCUUUCACGGGCUAUCCAUCAAAGGAUCACAUCCCCAUUUCCAUCCACAGUCGCUUCCAAUCUAGAAAUCAAAGACACUGAACCAAAACCGACUGUUUUUGAUCAAAGAGACUCUAUGGACGACCAGCUGCAUCAAGAAGAUGAACAACAUGCUGUAAGUGUUAUCUUGCCAAUCCAAAACGUGGUUGAAGAAUCAGAAUUCAUUGGACCAGAAGCACCCGAAGAAAAAGAGCAUACAAUGGCUGACAUGUCAUGUGAAAUUCACGGUUCAAUUUCAUGCUAUGAAUUGAUCCAGCCACUGGUUUGCAAUGAGAACAGUCCAGUAGAGCAACUGAGGUGUGAAGAUGGACUGCAACAGUUUGUCUUUGUGCGAGGAGAAAAAAUAUGUGUACACAAAGGAAAUGACAACACCUUGGUCAAACCUACAACAACAAUGAAGCUGCACAAGGUCGUUUCUAUAAUCUUAGAAGGUUUGGAUUUUAGGACAAAUCCUUUUUAAGAGGGAGAGUAUGAUAUGAUCCUGACCAGCAUCAAAGUCCAAGGUAUGAAAGCGAGGCAUGAACCAGCUAAGCCAUUGAUCAUGGUUUGGUUUAAUGGGCAUUUUCAAGGCCUAAUUAGACUGAUCUAUGAAGUUUUGGAUCAAGAGAAGCUACUAGAUUUGGGGCAGAACGUGGAAGUCUUAAAUGAGGUUUGGGCUUAUGUUUAGGCUAGGAAGAAGGCCCAAGAAGUUAGAAAUCAAUGCCAGCUCAAUUUUAUGAAGUUACAAGUCCAUUAAGAGCCCAAACAAGAGGUUUCUUGCAUGCAAAGAAGAUGGACGAAAAUCAGAUAUUGGAUUGCAUGGGAAGCUUCUCUCUCUUGCAUGCAAAUAAGCAUUUAAAGUCUUUUAUGUUUUCUAAGUAUUUCUACCAUUCCCCAAGCUGUUCAUGAAAGUGUUUUUAUUUUCCCUGGUAUUAUUUAUACAUUUCCCUAUGCUAGUCAUGCAUAACUUGUUGUUUUCUAUUUAAACUCUUGUAUGUUUCAUUUUAAAUCAUUCAACAUUUUUAAUAAAAAUCAUCUUCUUUAAACUUGUUGAAUCAUUUCUGAUUGUUGGUAUGUGAUUUCCUUCAAUCUAGCUUGAUUUAAUCUAGUGUGUCAUAUCUAGAGGCGACCAUUAUAGGGUAGUAUCAAAAGACUUUCCCCACCUCUUGUGUCACCUUUCGAUCCACAUCCCUUGAUCGUUUGUUGCUUUCUAGCUCAUUCGGUGCAAGAUUUAUCCAUUACCAAUUUCAGAGUGUCGAUCUUUCGGAGGAUCUCAUU